This 460-nucleotide ribosomal RNA is filed under the name uncultured bacterium. RNAcentral describes it as "partial 16S ribosomal RNA". It matches the Rfam family "Bacterial small subunit ribosomal RNA", at positions 338 to 795 of the family's 1533-position model. The record is from RNAcentral.
CCUACGGGAGGCAGCAGUGAGGAAUAUUGGUCAAUGGACGCAAGUCUGAACCAGCCAUGCCGCGUGCAGGAAGACGGCUCUAUGAGUUGUACACUGCUUUUGUACGAGGGUAAACGCAGAUACGCGUAUCUGUCUGAAAGUAUCGUACGAAUAAGGAUCGGCUAACUCCGUGCCAGCAGCCGCGGUAAUACGGAGGAUUCAAGCGUUAUCCGGAUUUUGUUGGUUUAAAGGGUGAGUAGGCGGUCGGAUAAGUUAGAGGUGAAAUCCCGAGGCUCAACUUCGGAAUUGCCUCUGAUACUGUUCGGCUAGAGAGUAGGUGCGGUAGGCGGAAUGUAUGGUGUAGCGGUGAAAUGCUUAGAGAUCAUACAGAACACCGAUUGCGAAGGCAGCUUACCAAGCUACUUCUGACGUUGAGGCACGAAAGCGUGGGGAGCAAACAGGAUUAGAUACCCUAGUAGUC